RNAcentral lists this ribosomal RNA (497 nucleotides) under uncultured bacterium. Its description in RNAcentral is "partial 16S ribosomal RNA". It matches the Rfam family "Bacterial small subunit ribosomal RNA", at positions 28 to 507 of the family's 1533-position model. The record is from RNAcentral.
GAUGAACGCUGGCGGCGUGCCUAAUACAUGCAAGUCGAGCGAACGGACGAGAAGCUUGCUUCUCUGAUGUUAGCGGCGGACGGGUGAGUAACAAGUGGAUAACCUACCUAUAAGACUGGGAUAACUUCGGGAAACCGUAGCUAAUACCGGAUAAUAUUUUGAACCGCAUGGUUCAAAAGUGAAAGACGGUCUUGCUGUCACUUAUAGAUGGAUCCGCGCUGCAUUAGCUAGUUGGUAAGGUAACGGCUUACCAAGGCAACGAUGCAUAGCCGACCUGAGAGGGUGAUCGGCCACACUGGAACUGCGACACGGUCCAGACUCCUACGGGAGGCAGCAGUAGGGAAUCUUCCGCAAUGGGCGAAAGCCUGACGGAGCAACGCCGCGUGAGUGAUGAAGGUCUUCGGAUCGUAAAACUCUGUUAUUAGGGAAGAACAUAUGUGUAAGUAACUGUGCACAUCUUGACGGUACCUAAUCAGAAAGCCACGGCUAACUACGUG